ACUGACCACGCAGACUGCUCAGCUGCUGCUCCCAGUGUCCAUCCAGGGCUCGAGUGUCACCUCAGUGCAACUCCCUGUAGGCAGCCUCAAACUCCAGGUGUGAAGUGUGUCUUCUAACUACUUUGCCUUACAGCAUGCAUGGAAUUCAAACCCUGCUAAGGAAGGCACCAUACCUGAGCUCUUUCAUAAAUGCAUCCAGAGCAGACCUCACAGAAAAAACGUAUGCAUGUGUAAGAGGGUUAUUCAGAAAUCUGAAUAUCUAGCACUGUUUUUAUAUAGUGAAAACAAACACAGGAUGCUUUUCUAGUCCUUUUACCUUUUCCCUUGAAUGAACACAGUAUCAUCCAUGCAGACAUUUUUUUACACACCAGUGACAUGACCAUAGUCUCUGCCGCUGAGCACUUUUUCUGGCAAGGCACAGCAUCUAGUACUUUAAAUGGCCGGCUUCACUUAAUCCUCCCUUCUCCUAGAAGAUCUAAAUGAUACCACCCAUCUCUGGAUAGGGGACGCUGAGGCCUAGGAGUACUCAGUGAGUUCCCCAAGGAUGGAGCUGGCAUUUAAACCCAGGUGUUCUGCCCACAGAGCCUUUAUUCUUAUGCCCAUUCUUAUAUUCUGCCUCCCACAUUUAGUUCUCGAAAGUCACUGCGUAUAUGAAGAUGUCUAAACUAAGGAAAACGUGACCACAAAUUUAGGAGUGAGGAUGUAAUUGAAAGAGAUGAGAAAACACUGAUGAGCAUGAAAUUCCCUUUUGUGUGCGUACAUAACCUAUGUAUUUACCGUGUCAUGCAGUUUUGGUAAGUUUUCACCAAACAUGGAGCACGAGUGAACAAGAAACAAUUUGAAGCAGUGCUUCUCAGCCUUGACACCGAAAUACCUGAAACAGGCGAGAGGAAUCAUCUCGUACCCCUGUGGUUAGGAGGCAGGGCCCGCAGACGCUUUGGCAUAUGCAAAAAUUCUAAUUCUUCUGUUUUGUCUUUAGGGUAUCUGUGAAAUUGAAAGUCUAUUCCAUAAUAAAUCCUCAAAUUUUUUGGUCCAAAUCUUUCAUUGCUGUAGUAGAAACGAGAACCGUGUUUUUAUCCUUGGGUCUGAGGGCGCCCUGGCCCAUUGCUGGCUCUCCCUAGGGAAUGCAUACACUGCUUGCAAGCGGCAAUUGGGACAGUUAGGUCUCACGAGUUUCCUUGUUGUUAUUCAAGUAUUACAGUACCUGAGCUAUUAUGUGUAGAACUGCCUUAGGUUCUUAUUAUUUCCAUUUCCAUUUUCUCAAAAUUUUCAAAUGAAAAAUCUUAGCUACUUAGGAAUAAUAAGAGCAUACAGUGACUGGUCUGAUGUUUCCCUCUCUGGUUUAGAAUCAUUAAAGUUCAGAUUUCUGUGCAGAUGAAGUGUGUAUCUGUAACCUUGGUCUUAUUUCAUUUAGCUACAGUCCCCAAGUGACCAAUGAUUCCACAUCUAAGUUCUGAUUUCUAGCUUUGAUUCUGACAAUUAAAUUGAUGUUUUUUUCAAUUCACCUCCUAGACUUCACCACAAGCAGGAAUGCAGACUCAGCCUCAGAUAGCAACUGCUGCACAAAUACCAACUGCUGCCUUGGCCUCAGGCUUGGCCCCAACUGUACCUCAGACACAAGACACGUUCCCACAGCAUGUGCUCAGUCAGCCUCAACAAGUCAGAAAGGUUUUCACAAACUCAGCAUCAUCAAAUACAGUUCUUCCAUAUCAGAGACAUCCUGCCCCAGCUGUCCAGCAGCCCUUUAUCAAUAAGGCCUCCAACAGUGUUCUUCAAUCCAGAAAUGCUCCGCUUGCAUCCCUGCAAAAUGGACCUAACACACCCAACAAGCCUAGUUCACCCCCGCCACCCCAGCAAUUUGUCGUCCAGCACUCUCUAUUUGGGAGCCCAGUCGCCAAGACAAAAGAUCCCCCCCGCUAUGAGGAGGCCAUCAAGCAGACACGCAGCACACAGGCCCCCCUGCCAGAGAUUUCCAACACACACAGUCAGCAGAUGGAUGACCUCUUUGAUAUCCUCAUUAAGAGUGGAGAGAUCUCCCUCCCCAUAAAAGAAGAACCUUCUCCUAUUUCCAAAAUGAGACCAGUGACAGCCAGCAUCACCACAAUGCCAGUGAAUACAGUGGUGUCCCGGCCACCACCCCAAGUCCAAAUGGCACCACCUGUAUCUUUAGAACCUAUGGGCAGUUUAUCUGCCAGCUUAGAGAACCAACUAGAAGCUUUCUUGGAUGGAACUUUACCCUCAGCCAAUGAAAUUGCUCCACUACAAAGCAGCAGUGAAGACAGAGAGCCCUUCUCUCUGAUCGAGGACCUCCAGAAUGAUCUGCUGAGUCACUCAGGUAUGCUGGACCAUUCACACUCACCCAUGGAGACUUCCGAGACCCAGUUUGCUGCAGGUACUCCCUGUCUGUCUCUUGACCUGUCAGACUCAAACUUGGACAACAUGGAGUGGUUGGACAUUACCAUGCCCAACUCCUCUUCAGGACUCACUCCUCUCAGCACCACUGCGCCGAGCAUGUUCUCCGCUGACUUUCUAGACCCACAGGACCUACCGCUACCAUGGGACUAACAUCACAGAUUUCUUUUCUGAGAGUUGAUGAGGUUUAAGAACAUGAAGAUUCUAAAAGGUCAGUUUUUAGAGAUAGAUCUAUAGUUGCAUUGUUGCAAUCAAAAUAUGUUGUCACAGAAAGAAUAGGUGGAAGGUCAUAGCCUGGAACCCAAGUUUGAAAACAUUUCAUUGUGUUCGGUAGUGAAUUUCUACAGUUUAACAUAGCACAGGGCCUUCUGAAAAUCACACUUGUCAAAGACGACUCAUCUAUUUCUCCAGACUUCAGUAAAGAAGUCUGUUUAGAUAAAAACAAAGAAGUCUGUUUGUUUAGAUAAAAACAAAGGAGUAAUAUAUGCAGCACAGUGACGUUAGGAUUCUGGUAAUUAACUACAUUUAAAUCUCUCUGGUCACUUUAAGACCCUAAUAAAAAGGCAGACAGCUCCACUCAAAAACUAAGGCUGAUGCGAGGGAGGUGAGAGGUCACUGCACUUGGUACUUCCUAGAGAUGGCCGGAGCCAGGCCCGAGACACAGCAGAGGUCAAAGGCAGUGGAGAGCCUUGGCCAGUUCAGUGACAGCUUCCGGCUGAAGACUUUUGGUUCUAUUCAGAAACCUGUGUCAUUUUUUUGGUGGUGUAGUUUAUUUUGUGAUUUUUGGAAUCGUACUUUAUAUUUCCAAAUUUAAAUUUAAAUGCAAGAUCUUUCAACAUAAACAGAAGAUACCUACAAAAUACUGUCAGAAGUCCAGGUAUACUGAUAACACUGAAAAUUCUAUUAGCAACCUUCUGGGUUGGUUAGAUUGAUUUUAAUGUAUAUAUUAGACAUUUGUAUGUGUGCUCUGACAUUGUGAUUUGUACAGCCUAUGUUGGGGUAAAGAAAUGGGUAUCCAAGGUCCUACUUUUUUAAUAGCUCGAAUAUUUCUAGACUACUUGAGCCACAUGUAUUUCUGUAUUUAAAGAAUUGCUGACUAACUUUCAGGUAACCACACCCAUCUCAAAGAACCAAGAAAAGGCUUUAGCAUGAAAUAUCUUUCUGAGCUGGUGAGUUAGAAGAAUGGAAGGUAAGGGGAAGGUCUGUCAUCUACCAGGACAUUCCCAUGAUGAGUACAGGUCAGACUGUGCCACGAGGUGGGCCUCCACGUCCCCUCCCUGGCCCUCUUUCUUCUGUCACUAACCCUGGUUAUCAUUUUACAGGCUUGUAACUGGAUAUUCUACCAGAGCUCUCACUAUAUUGUCAAGCCUAAGAUUGAAAAACUGGAGGCUUUAUUAGUGUUUUUAUAUAGAAAACAGUUAUUACAUAUUUGUUAAGUCAAGUCAUUUCUUAAGAAUUUUCUAAAAUGCCAACUAUCACAGGAUUAUUUCAAGCUAGUCAUUGAGGUAUAUGACAACAUGUAAAUAACAAAAAACUGAAAGAGCAUGGAGGUUUUUCUUAAAUAAUAAUAUUGUGCUCUCCACCUCACCCUUGUGUAAACCCUCAGGUCAGGUUGUUUCCCCUGGGUCACAAAAUGGUAAAUGUUCCAUACUGACAUGCCAGAGGCAGCCUGACCCGUUAUUUGGAAAGAAUUUGUGAAUUAUUUCUGGGUUUGUGUUUUGCCUAAGAGCUGAUCUUAUUUCUGAUUUGGGUGUGUGGUUUAUAAAUUUUACUACGUGUAACAAAAGUCUGCUUUUCCAGCAUGAGCACACUGGAGCCCUCUGCUCACUGGCACUUCCUGACUCCAAGGCACUAACAGUGCUCAUGUGCCUUCCAGACGGUUCAAGGCAGAGGCCACUGUGCUCAGUGUAGUCUGUGAUGAAUAGUUUAAGUGUUCAGAAAUUGGUAAACCAACGCAUGGGAUACAGUAACUCUCUGUUAACCAGAACACCAUCAUUUGACCAAGCCCUACAAGAGUUUACCACACUAGAUGUUCUGUGAAUCCUCGAGUCAGUUCCAUUGAGAGAGGCCUGUCUCCAGGGCCAGGCUAUUUACUUGAGAAAGUAUUUUUCUUACAGUUCUUGGCCACAGUUUUUUUGCUGAGGGUUUCUGUCUGGGCCUAUCAGGUCCAUACUUAGACCCUGAGCAUCUUCUUCAUUCAGAUUUGAAUGGCUUAUUAAAUUAGCACCAAAUAUCAGUGGGACUGUAGAAGGUAACCGAACACUAGUAGCAUUGACUCUCAUUGAAUAACUUUAUAUUUCCAUAAUCCUGAAUUGUGUAGAUAGUUUUCUAGCUCUCGGGUCCCUUUAUUGCAUUUUAAAAUAGGGUUUGAAACAUGCCACAGGAAGGUUGCUCUCCAAAAAUACACAGUGCAGUGCAAGAAAAUGCUAUCUCAUUAGCCUACUCUCCUAUGAAUUGCUAAAGUGCCCACUUCACAUAUGUGUUUAAACCUUUAUAAACCAGUAUUUCACUUUUAAAAAGACAAGGCAUCUCUACCCAUUAACUCUGCAAGCCACUCCACUUGCACCAUUCCGCUUGACCCUCCCCUCUCCUGGCUUGGGUCACCAGCCAGGCACCUGUGACACAAGUGCUGCUCUCCAGGAUCUCCACAUGUUCCAGGUUAGAGUGAGGACACGCUAUGUGCUCACAUUCAUGUGACAUGACCAAAGAUGAUACUCUGUAAACAAGGCCCCUCUGACCUGACUCAGUGCGUGUGAUGGUGAGUGCAAUGAGGAAGGGUGGAUGUUGACUAAAGACUGAUUGUUGUUGUUGUUUAGGUUAUUGUCACAGCCAUUACAGCACAAGUCAAAGUCGCCAGUUGAAUUUUCAUUAUGCACGUGUGUGGUUUAAGCAGUGGUACUGUUUUAUAUCAUAUUGCGAAGUAUCAUACUGCCAAGAAGAUAACUCCUAGAAAGGCAUUAUCUCACAUCCCCAUCUUACUUUCCUACAUGUUCUCAAAACACAGUAGUAUCAGCCUUACCUUUCUGCUGUAUAGAGAUAAUGAGAUCAUCCUACUGGGGGUGGGAUGAAUUUUAAAAGUUAUACCAAAAUUUCUGUAAAGUCUUUGAAAGUCUAGGAGUAUGUGGUCAUCUUGUACAUUUCAGCAAAGCAUCCACUAGGAAACCUCAUAGGACGGUGUUAGUGGUUCACGUUCUAGUGUUUUUCCUGAAAUGUGCAAUCUACUGUAUAGUAUUGCCACAUAAUUGUACAUAGAUGUAUUCUGAAUUUGUGGAAUUUCUUGCUUAGAUACUAUUGUGUUUGUUUCAUAUGAAUAUUUUUGUAAUUCUAAAAGAGAUCUUAUUUAAAUUUCCUUUUUAAAAGCCGCAUGGUUCUGUGAUCCAUGUAACUGACACUUUUUGGCUUUCAGUGCUGUUUAGAAACAGUGGCAAAGGCAGGGUGGUGUUGCCUGCAAGCUGCUGCCUAUGGAAGGCAAAGUCAUAGUAAUGAGAUAGCACCUCUGAACUGUGCAGUCAGCAUACCCUGAGUGAUCGCUCAGGGGCGCACUACCUAUUUUGUCACCAGAGCUGACUCAGGCUUCCUGGACCCUCAGCCCCAGAUCAUUCCAGGCAGCAUAGCUUUCUUCAGAGUCCUUUCAGAAUUCCCAGGCUGAAAUCAGCCACAGCAGUUGACAAAAUAGCUGUCCCCACAAGUGAUGGGAUAGUCCCUUUACUGUCCUCAAAUGGACUUGGCCUUAGAGACGUGGUAAAGCACUUUGGCAGGAUUUAAAAUAUUUGUGAGAAGCCCACAUUUCAGUAUACAUCCUCACCGGCCUCCAUGCACCCACCUGCCGGUAGCCUCACAGAAGUCCUGGCUGUCACUCAGGUGGGGAGCUCAUGGUGCCGCUGGGGACUUUUUAGAGAAAUGUAAAGAGAAUAGCUAUUCAGUGUCUACCAGCAGAGCAACACGUGUCAAUUUAACCAAAUUCACAAAUAACUCCAUUUUUCAAUAUCUGCUACUGUAAACAUGAAUAUUGAAUACUGACAAGAGAAUACCCAUACAAAUCGUCCCACCGCCCUAGAGGCCACAAAAUUAGCCCAAAAUUAUCAAAGAACGUUAACUGGAAGGUCAGGUUUUUCAAGGAACAUAGCUUACAAGUGCAUCAGUGUGUAUCUGGAGAGCAUCCUAACUGCAUUUCAAUUCAUCUUUUAAGUGAUUUCAGUCAAAACUGGAAAACAACUAAGAUGUAGUAAUUUUUUUUUCCUGGUUCAAACCUUCAAUAACUUGCUCAUUCAGCAGUCUCUCUGAGCUACAUUUUUAUUUGUAAAGUGACUCUGUCUGCAUGGCAAUAAGCAGGUGCGUGUUUUUUCCACAUUCGCCCUUUCUUGCAAUAUCCAAGGAAACACAUCAUUACAAAGGGUUUCUACCUGAAAUCUUUCAUGGAAGGCCUACAAUUCAAAAAGCUGCACAUGUUUACAGAAGAGCUCUUACCCUCCAUGCAAACACUUUGCUCUGUGAUGUCACAGCUUUGUGACAAUAAGAUGGCAAUCUCGGAUCUACAAGGUGCUGUCGGGAAUCAAAUAAAAUAUGUUAUCAGAGAUAUCAUCACAUCUAUAGUGUUUAACAGAGCUUUAUGCCAGCUACUAAGACAAAGCUUUAACAAAGUUUAUAGAAUACUGAAACUCGUAACAAUUACCUCUCUACAUGAUGCUGUAAGGAAUCUUGCUAAUUUGGUAGGAAGAGGAAGCAUUUAGGAAAGGGUUUAGUAUCUACCAAAAGUACUUGACCUCAAGUAACCAAUAGUAAUGCAAACUUGCUUUAAAGGAACCAAAGGCAUUGCCAAGUAUUUGCCAAAAGGAGGCACUUUUUAUUUAAAAUUUGAGACUAAUGAGAUCUCAAAAAUCAGUCCCAAAAAGAUAUUAUCCAUUUAAGGUUAUAAUUUUCACAAAGAUGUAGAUAUUUCUCUUAUUGUUUUCAUGUGAAAUAGUAUAGAGUUGUUUUGUUGGUUUAAGAAUAACAUUCAGUAGUAAUACAAAGUUUUUUUUCUAUGUAGAAAUUAGUUUUCUUCUUUUCUUGCUUGCAAUAGAAAUGCAAUGUGAUAGGUGUUUCUCUUCUUAUUUUCAUUGUCACAUUAUGUCUUAGCAUCUCACUUUAUGAAAAAAAGGAGAAAGAUACCAAUCUACAGAGCCCUGCUUGUUGAAGCACUAGUUUAAUCAACAAAAAAUUAUGGCAAUCGGGGGUCCAUUCAUGUAUUGCCUUUAUGUUGUUUUUUAAAAGAAAAACCAUGAUGCCUUUGUAUUUGCUGUUUGCACCCCUGAAAUCAAUUCCAUAUCAUGUUUGAAUGCCAUACAUUUUGCACAUGUACUGUACAUAGGUAAUGCAUACUGUAUUUUUAUAUGUGUGCACAUUUAUCAUCAGAUCUUUUGUACAUAGUGGCAGUAUUGUAGCUGAUCGGGAAAUGUUUGAUAUCUCAGCAAUUUUGCAUUUUUGUGUCUCAAAUAAAAGACAUUUUGAUGUA
This 7906-nucleotide small RNA is filed under the name Pongo abelii (Sumatran orangutan). RNAcentral describes it as "retained intron". The record is from RNAcentral. Lineage: Eukaryota; Metazoa; Chordata; Mammalia; Primates; Hominidae.